AGCAGCCGCGGUAAUUCCAGCUCCAAUAGCGUAUAUUAAAGUUGUUGCAGUUAAAAAGCUCGUAGUUGAAUUUCGGGAUCAAUAUGUUGGUCGUGCCUUGGUACGUACUAAUUUAUUGGUUUCUUCCGUCUGACGAACCAUGAUGUCAUUAAUUUGGUGUUAUGGGGAGUUAGGACUGUUACUUUGAAAAAAUUAGAGUGUUUAAAGCAGGCAUUAGCUUGAAUACAUUAGCAUGGAAUAAUGAAAUAGGACGUUCGAUCCUAUUUUGUUGGUUUCUAGGAUCAACGUAAUGAUUAAUAGGGAUAGUUGGGGGCAUUAGUAUUCAAUUGUCAGAGGUGAAAUUCUUGGAUUUAUUGAAGACUAACUACUGCGAAAGCAUUUGCCAAGGAUGUUUUCAUUAAUCAAGAACGUAAAGUUAGGGGAUCGAAGACGAUCAGAUACCGUCGUAGUCUUAACCAUAAACUAUGCCGACUAGGGAUCGGAUGAUGUUAAUUUUUAUAGACUCAUUCGGCGCCUUACG
RNAcentral lists this ribosomal RNA (520 nucleotides) under uncultured Glomus. RNAcentral describes it as "SSU rRNA". It matches the Rfam family "Eukaryotic small subunit ribosomal RNA", at positions 569 to 1092 of the family's 1831-position model. The record is from RNAcentral. Lineage: Eukaryota; Fungi; Glomeromycota; Glomeromycetes; Glomerales; Glomeraceae.